RNAcentral lists this ribosomal RNA (878 nucleotides) under uncultured archaeon. RNAcentral describes it as "bacterial SSU rRNA". It matches the Rfam family "Archaeal small subunit ribosomal RNA", at positions 1 to 860 of the family's 1478-position model. The record is from RNAcentral.
UUCCGGUUGAUCCUGCCGGACCCUAUUGCUAUCGGGAUGAGACUAAGCCAUGCUAGUUGUGCGCUUCCUAGCUAUGUUGGAAGAGCAGCAAACGGCUCCGUAACACGUAGUUAAUCUGCCCUUAGGACAGACAUAACCUUGGGAAACUGAGGCUAAUAUCUGAUAGGUGGAAACGCCUGGAAUGGUCUUCCGCUUAAAGGUUUUUGGAGACAUGCCUCCAAGAAUGCCUAAGGAUGAGACUGCGGCCGAUCAGGCUGUUGGUGGGGUAACGGCUCACCAAACCUAUAACCGGUACGGGCCCUGAGAGGGGGAGCCCGGAGAUGGGAACUGAGACAAGGUCCCAGGCCCUACGGGGCGCAGCAGGCGCGAAACCUCCACAAUGCGCGAAAGCGUGAUGGGGUUAUCCCGAGUGCCGUCCGUUGAGGAGGGCUUUUCCCCAGUGUAAGGAGCUGGGGGAAUAAAGGGGGGGCAAGACUGGUGUCAGCCGCCGCGGUAAUACCAGCCCCCUGAGUUAUAGGGACGAUUAUUUAGCCUAAAGCGUUCGUAGCCGGCUCAGCAAGUCUUUCGUUAAAUCUAACGACUCAAUCGUUAGGCCGCGGAAGAUACUACUAGGCUUGAGGACGGGAGAGGUCGACGGUAUUCCCGGUGUAGGGGUGAAAUCCAAUAAUCCCGGGAGGACCACCAGUGGCGAAGCGGUCGACCAGAACGUGCCUGACGGUGAUGGACGAAAGCUGGGGGAGCAACCGGAUUAGACACCGGGUAGUCCCAGCUGUAAACGAUGCGAGCUAGUGUUGGGGUAGCCACGAGCUGUCCCAGUGCCGCAGAGAAGUUGUUAAGCUCGCCGCUUGGGGAGUACGGCCGCAAGGUUGAAACUUAAG